UCCUCCGGGGGCUAGCGUUGUUCGGAUUUACUGGGCGUAAAGGGCGCGUAGGCGGAUUUUUAAGUCGGGGGUGAAAUCCCGGAGCUCAACUCCGGAACUGCCUUCGAUACUGAAAGUCUGGAGCACGGUAGAGGUGAGUGGAAUUCCGAGUGUAGAGGUGAAAUUCGUAGAUAUUCGGAGGAACACCAGUGGCGAAGGCGGCUCACUGGACCGUUGCUGACGCUGAGGCGCGAAAGCGUGGGGAGCAAACAGG
RNAcentral lists this ribosomal RNA (253 nucleotides) under uncultured bacterium. Its description in RNAcentral is "partial 16S ribosomal RNA". It matches the Rfam family "Bacterial small subunit ribosomal RNA", at positions 524 to 776 of the family's 1533-position model. The record is from RNAcentral.